GCGGUUAUGAUGAAAUGGUAGACAUAGAAUACUUAAGAUGUUCUGAAUUUAAUUCGUGUAGGUUCGACUCCUACUAACCGCA
Molecule: non-coding RNA, 82 nt
Organism: [Candida] anglica
Lineage: Eukaryota; Fungi; Ascomycota; Pichiomycetes; Serinales; Debaryomycetaceae
Source: the annotation of a GenBank genome assembly